AGAGUGCGUAAUAGCUCACUGGUCAAGUGAUUCCGCGCCGAUAAUGUAGCGGGGCUUAAGUUAUCCGCCGAAGCUGUGGCAACCUGUGUGGUUGGGUAGGGGAGCGUCGUGUCAGUGGUGAAGCUGCCGGGUGACUGUGUGGUGGAGUUGAUGCGAGUGAGAAUGCAGGCAUGAGUAGCGAAAGACGGGUGAGAAACCCGUCCGCCGGAUGACUAAGGGUUCCAGGGUCAAGCUAAUCUGCCCUGGGUAAGUCGGGACCUAAGGCGAGGCCGACAGGCGUAGUCGAUGGACAACGGGUUGAUAUUCCCGUACCAGUGAAGAA
Molecule: ribosomal RNA, 322 nt
Filed under: Ditylum brightwellii
Lineage: Eukaryota; Bacillariophyta; Thalassiosirophyceae; Lithodesmiales; Lithodesmiaceae
Description: partial Bacterial large subunit ribosomal RNA
Rfam family: Bacterial large subunit ribosomal RNA
Source: RNAcentral